UACAGAGGUCUCAAGCGUUGUUCGGAUUCAUUGGGCGUAAAGGGUGCGUAGGCGGCGCGGUAAGUCGGGUGUGAAAUCUCGGAGCUUAACCUGGGAACUGCAUUUGUGACUGCACGGCUGGAGUGCGGCAGAGGGGGAUGGAAUUCCGCGUGUAGCAGUGAAAUGCGUAGAUAUGCGGAGGAACACCGAUGGCGAAGGCAAUCCCCUGGGCCUGCACUGACGCUGAGGGACGAAAGCUAGGGGAGCAAACAGG
This 253-nucleotide ribosomal RNA is filed under the name uncultured bacterium. Its description in RNAcentral is "partial 16S ribosomal RNA". It matches the Rfam family "Bacterial small subunit ribosomal RNA", at positions 524 to 776 of the family's 1533-position model. The record is from RNAcentral.